Molecule: ribosomal RNA, 1554 nt
Filed under: Salmonella enterica subsp. enterica serovar Newport
Lineage: Bacteria; Pseudomonadati; Pseudomonadota; Gammaproteobacteria; Enterobacterales; Enterobacteriaceae
Also listed under: 1 other name
Description: bacterial SSU rRNA
Rfam family: Bacterial small subunit ribosomal RNA
Source: RNAcentral
UUAAAUUGAAGAGUUUGAUCAUGGCUCAGAUUGAACGCUGGCGGCAGGCCUAACACAUGCAAGUCGAACGGUAACAGGAAGCAGCUUGCUGCUUUGCUGACGAGUGGCGGACGGGUGAGUAAUGUCUGGGAAACUGCCUGAUGGAGGGGGAUAACUACUGGAAACGGUGGCUAAUACCGCAUAACGUCGCAAGACCAAAGAGGGGGACCUUCGGGCCUCUUGCCAUCAGAUGUGCCCAGAUGGGAUUAGCUAGUUGGUGAGGUAACGGCUCACCAAGGCGACGAUCCCUAGCUGGUCUGAGAGGAUGACCAGCCACACUGGAACUGAGACACGGUCCAGACUCCUACGGGAGGCAGCAGUGGGGAAUAUUGCACAAUGGGCGCAAGCCUGAUGCAGCCAUGCCGCGUGUAUGAAGAAGGCCUUCGGGUUGUAAAGUACUUUCAGCGGGGAGGAAGGUGUUGUGGUUAAUAACCGCAGCAAUUGACGUUACCCGCAGAAGAAGCACCGGCUAACUCCGUGCCAGCAGCCGCGGUAAUACGGAGGGUGCAAGCGUUAAUCGGAAUUACUGGGCGUAAAGCGCACGCAGGCGGUCUGUCAAGUCGGAUGUGAAAUCCCCGGGCUCAACCUGGGAACUGCAUUCGAAACUGGCAGGCUUGAGUCUUGUAGAGGGGGGUAGAAUUCCAGGUGUAGCGGUGAAAUGCGUAGAGAUCUGGAGGAAUACCGGUGGCGAAGGCGGCCCCCUGGACAAAGACUGACGCUCAGGUGCGAAAGCGUGGGGAGCAAACAGGAUUAGAUACCCUGGUAGUCCACGCCGUAAACGAUGUCUACUUGGAGGUUGUGCCCUUGAGGCGUGGCUUCCGGAGCUAACGCGUUAAGUAGACCGCCUGGGGAGUACGGCCGCAAGGUUAAAACUCAAAUGAAUUGACGGGGGCCCGCACAAGCGGUGGAGCAUGUGGUUUAAUUCGAUGCAACGCGAAGAACCUUACCUGGUCUUGACAUCCACAGAACUUUCCAGAGAUGGAUUGGUGCCUUCGGGAACUGUGAGACAGGUGCUGCAUGGCUGUCGUCAGCUCGUGUUGUGAAAUGUUGGGUUAAGUCCCGCAACGAGCGCAACCCUUAUCCUUUGUUGCCAGCGAUUAGGUCGGGAACUCAAAGGAGACUGCCAGUGAUAAACUGGAGGAAGGUGGGGAUGACGUCAAGUCAUCAUGGCCCUUACGACCAGGGCUACACACGUGCUACAAUGGCGCAUACAAAGAGAAGCGACCUCGCGAGAGCAAGCGGACCUCAUAAAGUGCGUCGUAGUCCGGAUUGGAGUCUGCAACUCGACUCCAUGAAGUCGGAAUCGCUAGUAAUCGUGGAUCAGAAUGCCACGGUGAAUACGUUCCCGGGCCUUGUACACACCGCCCGUCACACCAUGGGAGUGGGUUGCAAAAGAAGUAGGUAGCUUAACCUUCGGGAGGGCGCUUACCACUUUGUGAUUCAUGACUGGGGUGAAGUCGUAACAAGGUAACCGUAGGGGAACCUGCGGUUGGAUCACCUCCUUACCUGAAAGAA